RNAcentral lists this ribosomal RNA (252 nucleotides) under uncultured bacterium. RNAcentral describes it as "partial 16S ribosomal RNA". It matches the Rfam family "Bacterial small subunit ribosomal RNA", at positions 524 to 776 of the family's 1533-position model. The record is from RNAcentral.
GACGUAGGGGGCCAGCGUUGCUCGGAAUUACUGGGCGUAAAGGGUCCGUAGGCGGUGCGGUAAGUCGGGAGUGAAAUCUCUGGGCUUAACUCAGAGGCUGCUUCCGAAACUACCGUGCUAGAGUGCGAGAGAGGCAAGUGGAAUUGCGGGUGUAGCGGUGAAAUGCGUAGAUAUCCGCAGGAACAUCCGAGGCGAAAGCGGCUUGCUGGAUCGCACUGACGCUGAGGGACGAAAGCUGGGGGAGCAAACAGG